Molecule: unclassified non-coding RNA, 425 nt
Filed under: soil metagenome
Description: partial contains 5.8S ribosomal RNA, internal transcribed spacer 2, and large subunit ribosomal RNA
Rfam family: 5.8S ribosomal RNA (bases 1-120)
Source: RNAcentral
GAUGAAGAACGUAGCGAAAUGCGAUAAGUAGUGUGAAUUGCAGAAUUCCGUGAAUCAUCAAAUCUUUGAACGCACAUUGCGCCUUCUGGUAUUCCGGAAGGCAUGCCUGUUCGAGAGUCAUUAACAACCGUUUCGAUCCCUUUCUUUCAGAAAUUACAAAGAGGAAAAGGGUUUGGUUAUGGUGGAGGAGGGAAAGGGAGCGUUUAGCCUGUAAAAAAAGAGGCUGUGUUCCGCCUCCCCCCCAAAAUUGUACAGGCGGUCGUGUGCGCCCACGCAUCGAGGUGUUGUAAAAGCUGCCACGGCACUUUUCACCUGUGCAGUGCGAGAUUGGCCAGCCGGUUUAAAAACCCCUCCAAACAAUCAAAGGUUGACCUCGGAUCAGGUAGGGAUACCCGCUGAACUUAAGCAUAUCAAUAAGCGGAGGA